GCGCUGCUGACGAGUCCCGAACAGGAUGAAACCGCUGUCCAGUAC
Molecule: non-coding RNA, 45 nt
Filed under: Echinostoma caproni
Lineage: Eukaryota; Metazoa; Platyhelminthes; Trematoda; Plagiorchiida; Echinostomatidae
Source: RNAcentral